Molecule: ribosomal RNA, 490 nt
Filed under: uncultured bacterium
Lineage: Bacteria
Description: partial 16S ribosomal RNA
Rfam family: Bacterial small subunit ribosomal RNA
Source: RNAcentral
AUUGAACGCUGGCGGCAGGCCUAACACAUGCAAGUCGAACGGUAACAGGAAGAAGCUUGCUUCUUUGCUGACGAGUGGCGGGCGGGUGGGUAAUGUCUGGGAAACUGCCUGAUGGAGGGGGAUAACUACUGGAAACGGUAGCUAAUACCGCAUAACGUCGCAACACCAAAGAGGGUGACCUUCGGGCCUCUUGCCUUCCGGUGUUCCCAGAUGGGGUUAGCUAGUAGGUGGGGUAACGGAUCACCGAGGCGAGGAUCCGUAGUGUGUCUGAGAGGAUGACCAGCCACACUGGAACUGAGACACGGUCCAGACUACUACGGGAGGCAGCAGUGGGGAAUAUUGCACAAUGGGCGCAAGCCUGAUGCAGCCAUGCCGCGUGUAUGAAGAAGGCCUUCGGGUUGUAAAGUACUUUUAGCUGGGAGGAAGGGAGUAAAGUGAAUACGUUUGCUCAUUGACGUUACCCGAAGAAGAAGCACCGGCUAACUCCGUG